UACGUAGGGGGCAAGCGUUGUCCGGAAUCAUUGGGCGUAAAGAGCGUGUAGGCGGUUAUACAGGUCCGCUGUGAAAACUGGAGGCUUAACCUCCAGACGUCGGUGGAAACCGUAUAACUAGAGUCCGGAAGAGGAGAGUGGAAUUCCUGGUGUAGCGGUGAAAUGCGCAGAUAUCAGGAAGAACACCCGUGGCGAAGGCGGCUCUCUGGGACGGUACUGACGCUGAGACGCGAAAGCGUGGGGAGCGAACAGG
RNAcentral lists this ribosomal RNA (253 nucleotides) under uncultured bacterium. Its description in RNAcentral is "partial 16S ribosomal RNA". It matches the Rfam family "Bacterial small subunit ribosomal RNA", at positions 524 to 776 of the family's 1533-position model. The record is from RNAcentral.